This 2472-nucleotide long non-coding RNA is filed under the name Oryza brachyantha (malo sina). Its description in RNAcentral is "long non-coding RNA (OBRA_LNC003437)". The record is from RNAcentral. Lineage: Eukaryota; Viridiplantae; Streptophyta; Magnoliopsida; Poales; Poaceae.
GCCGAAGUCCGUCCCCCCAGCCGAACCGAGCCCAGCCGUCGCCAUGUCUGAGCGGGACGCCGCUGCCGCUGUCGUGUUUGCUGCCGCUUUCCUCGCCCGGGGGCCACAAUCAACUCCACAACCACCACCCCGCCCUAGCCGCCACCAAGGUCCCAAUAAAUCCCCAUCCCCCAUGCGCCACCGCCGUUUUUUUACUCCACCCGAAGCCGCCGCUGUGCCCAAACACGUCACCGCCGCAUCUGAUCUCACCGCCAGGUGCUGGACGAUGCCACCCACCCGCAUCAUCACCUCUGCCUCAUCCUCACCGACACUCCGUCGCCCUUGUCGCUGCCGGUGAGCACUCCUCCUCCCUUCCCCCCCCCCCCCCCCCCCUCCUUUGUUUCCCCCUCCCCCCGCCGUUACACCGCCCCGCUGCCGACGCGUCUGCCUCGCUGUCGCCGAUGUCGUCCCGUCCUCGUCGGAGUGUGUCCGGGUCUGCCCUAGCCAGCCCACGCUUUUCCCCCGCGCUGCCACCUCUCCUCCCAUGUUCGGCCACUGCUGCCGUUCUCGCCUUGUCGCCCGUCCCCAUCGUGCGCCGCCGCCAUUGUCGUCGCCGCCAUUAUGCGCCAUCGCCGCUAUGCCGGUCAUCGCCGCCACUACCGCCGCCGAGAGCCGCCCAGAGCUACUGGCUGAGCGCCCGCUCUGCUCUCCCCUGUUCGGGUGUCGUCCCCCUCCCCCCCUCUCUGCCCCGGGUCACCAACCAAUGGUACCCACCCGUCGAGCCCCUCCCUCUCUCUCUCCCCUCUCACCGCCGGGUGAGCCCGGCCUGUCAGUCAACCGCCCCCCUCUCUCUUCCCCGUGGGACCCUUUGUCAGUCCCAUUCCUCCCGCCCUCACCCGAUGAUAGGUGGCCCCCACCUGUCAGCCACCCCUCCUCUCCUCACUGACGUCAGCACCUCACUUUAUUGCGCAAUAAUUGAUUUAGGACUUUCUGUUUAGUUAAAAACCCAAAAAAUGUCUAAAAUUCAUAACUAAUUCAUCCGAUCUCUACUUAAGUCCAUUCAAAUUUCUCUUGUUGUUUCAGAAGAGUUUGUGCAUGUUUAUUUAUUUUUGUGCUUUGUCGCUUAGAUUCGGACCCCACCGAAGCGUCGGUUUACUUCGAGAUCAUCGUCAAAGUACCCCAAGGACCAGAGCAUGGCAAGUGACACUCAUCUUUGAUCAUAUUGAACCUACUGUUGCUAAUUCUUUGCAUUAUUUAUUCAAACAUGCAUUGCUCUACAUAAAGUAUUUAUUGUAUUUAUUUUACGGGUAACCUAUUUUUAUGCCGUUGUUUAUCCAUCUUUAUUCGUGCUAUACCAGGGGUAACUUGAGUAGAGUUGGGCCUAGACUAAUGCUUAGCCAUGCUUAGAACAAGUAGCUCAUGGGAUCACACUUUAAUCAUUGUUAGUUUUGAAUAGCUGUUAAUUAUGAUUCAUUUCCUGGUUCGGCUUAAUGCCAACUAAAAUAUUGAUAAUGGUGGGCUGUGGGUGCAUGGUUUUGAGAUUCGCACCAAUGGCGAUAAAUGACCGGUUCACGAGAAACCCUGGAAAUAAUUCAGUGCUAACCACAUGCCGAAAUGUGUAAGGUGGGAUUUGAAGCAUCGCUUCGAACUAUUUGACGUACCAAGGCAAGGGUGAGGAUGAUCGAGUAUGGACGGGACAUCAUGGUGUAACGAUGGCCUCUGCUGCUUUCGGAUUCACCAAGGCACAAGAGGGGACUGCCCGACUUGGUGUAAAGGAGGGGGUGAAACCGGAAGUGCGGUGCGAUUAAAUAGGGAGGUUAUGUCAUGGUGCCAUGUCGGCACACGUUCAAGUGCAGUGGAGUCAUGUCUUGUGGGUACAGUACUACACCUCUGAUCAGAGUAUAAUCUAUUCGAAUAGUCAUGCCCACGGUCCAGGGCGGACUCCCAGAUUCACUGUGAUUAGUUGAAUCUUUAAUGACUUGAGUAAGCUAGCUUUCACUUGGGGCUACUGCAACGUGUUGUAGUGUUGAGUAGUGGUUGGGUCUGUCACAACGUGGUGUAAUGUUGGACGGUGAUGUGGUAAUUUUACAACUGUUAUUUAUUUAUUCUUUUAUUUAUUUAAUUACAUUUAUUUAGUUUAAUCUCUAUUAUUUAUUAGACGUUGCUUUGUUGCAACUUACCCUAGCCUACCUUUGAUGAUCCCUUGCAUCAUUUAUUACCCUCUUUUCCUUGCUACUUGUUGAGUAUAGUGGUUUGUACUCAGUUUUGCGUAAUUAUUUCUCCCUUCAGAGCUAGAUGUUGAAUCCGAUGGAGCUGACUCCCAGGAGUGAGCUGUUCUGCCGUCGAAGUGUUGCCUAUGGACUGGAGCCAUGCCCGCUGGAGCAAGUCUACGUUAUCUUUUCCGCUGUUUUCGUUAGAUUAAAUGUUAUUUUUAGUUGUUUCUAAGAACGAACGGUUAUGUAAUCAACAUUGUCUUUUUGUGUCCCUUGGCUG